UUAAGCGACUAAGCGUACACGGUGGAUGCCCUGGCAGUCAGAGGCGAUGAAGGACGUGCUAAUCUGCGAUAAGCGUCGGUAAGGUGAUAUGAACCGUUAUAACCGGCGAUUUCCGAAUGGGGAAACCCAGUGUGAUUCGUCACACUAUCAUUAACUGAAUCCAUAGGUUAAUGAGGCGAACCGGGGGAACUGAAACAUCUAAGUACCCCGAGGAAAAGAAAUCAACCGAGAUUCCCCCAGUAGCGGCGAGCGAACGGGGAGGAGCCCAGAGCCUGAAUCAGUGUGUGUGUUAGUGGAAGCGUCUGGAAAGGCGCGCGAUACAGGGUGACAGCCCCGUACACAAAAAUGCACAUGCUGUGAGCUCGAUGAGUAGGGCGGGACACGUGGUAUCCUGUCUGAAUAUGGGGGGACCAUCCUCCAAGGCUAAAUACUCCUGACUGACCGAUAGUGAACCAGUACCGUGAGGGAAAGGCGAAAAGAACCCCGGCGAGGGGAGUGAAAAAGAACCUGAAACCGUGUACGUACAAGCAGUGGGAGCCUCUUUAUGGGGUGACUGCGUACCUUUUGUAUAAUGGGUCAGCGACUUAUAUUCUGUAGCAAGGUUAACCGAAUAGGGGAGCCGAAGGGAAACCGAGUCUUAACUGGGCGUUAAGUUGCAGGGUAUAGACCCGAAACCCGGUGAUCUAGCCAUGGGCAGGUUGAAGGUUGGGUAACACUAACUGGAGGACCGAACCGACUAAUGUUGAAAAAUUAGCGGAUGACUUGUGGCUGGGGGUGAAAGGCCAAUCAAACCGGGAGAUAGCUGGUUCUCCCCGAAAGCUAUUUAGGUAGCGCCUCGUGAAUUCAUCUCCGGGGGUAGAGCACUGUUUCGGCAAGGGGGUCAUCCCGACUUACCAACCCGAUGCAAACUGCGAAUACCGGAGAAUGUUAUCACGGGAGACACACGGCGGGUGCUAACGUCCGUCGUGAAGAGGGAAACAACCCAGACCGCCAGCUAAGGUCCCAAAGUCAUGGUUAAGUGGGAAACGAUGUGGGAAGGCCCAGACAGCCAGGAUGUUGGCUUAGAAGCAGCCAUCAUUUAAAGAAAGCGUAAUAGCUCACUGGUCGAGUCGGCCUGCGCGGAAGAUGUAACGGGGCUAAACCAUGCACCGAAGCUGCGGCAGCGACGCUUAUGCGUUGUUGGGUAGGGGAGCGUUCUGUAAGCCUGUGAAGGUGUGCUGUGAGGCAUGCUGGAGGUAUCAGAAGUGCGAAUGCUGACAUAAGUAACGAUAAAGCGGGUGAAAAGCCCGCUCGCCGGAAGACCAAGGGUUCCUGUCCAACGUUAAUCGGGGCAGGGUGAGUCGACCCCUAAGGCGAGGCCGAAAGGCGUAGUCGAUGGGAAACAGGUUAAUAUUCCUGUACUUGGUGUUACUGCGAAGGGGGGGACGGAGAAGGCUAUGUUGGCCGGGCGACGGUUGUCCCGGUUUAAGCGUGUAGGCUGGUUUUCCAGGCAAAUCCGGAAAAUCAAGGCUGAGGCGUGAUGACGAGGCACUACGGUGCUGAAGCAACAAAUGCCCUGCUUCCAGGAAAAGCCUCUAAGCAUCAGGUAACAUCAAAUCGUACCCCAAACCGACACAGGUGGUCAGGUAGAGAAUACCAAGGCGCUUGAGAGAACUCGGGUGAAGGAACUAGGCAAAAUGGUGCCGUAACUUCGGGAGAAGGCACGCUGAUAUGUAGGUGAAGUCCCUCGCGGAUGGAGCUGAAAUCAGUCGAAGAUACCAGCUGGCUGCAACUGUUUAUUAAAAACACAGCACUGUGCAAACACGAAAGUGGACGUAUACGGUGUGACGCCUGCCCGGUGCCGGAAGGUUAAUUGAUGGGGUUAGCGGUAACGCGAAGCUCUUGAUCGAAGCCCCGGUAAACGGCGGCCGUAACUAUAACGGUCCUAAGGUAGCGAAAUUCCUUGUCGGGUAAGUUCCGACCUGCACGAAUGGCGUAAUGAUGGCCAGGCUGUCUCCACCCGAGACUCAGUGAAAUUGAACUCGCUGUGAAGAUGCAGUGUACCCGCGGCAAGACGGAAAGACCCCGUGAACCUUUACUAUAGCUUGACACUGAACAUUGAGCCUUGAUGUGUAGGAUAGGUGGGAGGCUUUGAAGUGUGGACGCCAGUCUGCAUGGAGCCGACCUUGAAAUACCACCCUUUAAUGUUUGAUGUUCUAACGUUGGCCCCUAAUCGGGGUUGCGGACAGUGUCUGGUGGGUAGUUUGACUGGGGCGGUCUCCUCCUAAAGAGUAACGGAGGAGCACGAAGGUUGGCUAAUCCUGGUCGGACAUCAGGAGGUUAGUGCAAUGGCAUAAGCCAGCUUGACUGCGAGCGUGACGGCGCGAGCAGGUGCGAAAGCAGGUCAUAGUGAUCCGGUGGUUCUGAAUGGAAGGGCCAUCGCUCAACGGAUAAAAGGUACUCCGGGGAUAACAGGCUGAUACCGCCCAAGAGUUCAUAUCGACGGCGGUGUUUGGCACCUCGAUGUCGGCUCAUCACAUCCUGGGGCUGAAGUAGGUCCCAAGGGUAUGGCUGUUCGCCAUUUAAAGUGGUACGCGAGCUGGGUUUAGAACGUCGUGAGACAGUUCGGUCCCUAUCUGCCGUGGGCGCUGGAGAACUGAGGGGGGCUGCUCCUAGUACGAGAGGACCGGAGUGGACGCAUCACUGGUGUUCGGGUUGUCAUGCCAAUGGCACUGCCCGGUAGCUAAAUGCGGAAGAGAUAAGUGCUGAAAGCAUCUAAGCACGAAACUUGCCCCGAGAUGAGUUCUCCCUGACUCCUUGAGAGUCCUGAAGGAACGUUGAAGACGACGACGUUGAUAGGCCGGGUGUGUAAGCGCAGCGAUGCGUUGAGCUAACCGGUACUAAUGAACCGUGAGGCUUAACCUU
This 2904-nucleotide ribosomal RNA is filed under the name Escherichia coli KTE144. RNAcentral describes it as "bacterial LSU rRNA". It matches the Rfam family "Bacterial large subunit ribosomal RNA". Lineage: Bacteria; Pseudomonadati; Pseudomonadota; Gammaproteobacteria; Enterobacterales; Enterobacteriaceae. The record is from RNAcentral.